RNAcentral lists this ribosomal RNA (507 nucleotides) under uncultured bacterium. Its description in RNAcentral is "partial 16S ribosomal RNA". It matches the Rfam family "Bacterial small subunit ribosomal RNA", at positions 30 to 523 of the family's 1533-position model. The record is from RNAcentral.
AUUGAACGCUGGCGGCAGGCCUAACACAUGCAAGUCGAACGGUAACAGGAAGAAGCUUGCUUCUUUGCUGACGAGUGGCGGACGGGUGAGUAAUGUCUGGGAAACUGCCUGAUGGAGGGGGAUAACUACUGGAAACGGUAGCUAAUACCGCAUAACGUCGCAAGACCAAAGAGGGGGACAUUCGGGCCUCUUGCCAUAGGAUGUGCCCAGAUGGGGUUAGCUUGUUGGUGGGGUAAAGGCUCACCAAGGCGACGAUCCCUAGCUGGUGCUGAGAGGAUGACCAGCCACACUGGGACUGAGACACGGUCCAGACUCCUACGGGAGGCAGCAGUGGGGAAUAUUGCACAAUGGGCGCAAGCCUGAUGCAGCCAUGCCGCGUGUAUGAAGAAGGCCUUCGGGUUGUAAAGUACUUUCAGCGGGGAGGAAGGGAGUAAAGUUAAUACCUUUGCUCAUUGACGUUACCCGCAGAAGAAGCACCGGCUAACUCCGUGCCAGCCGCCGCGGUAA